UUUAGUCCUGGUAUCUAUGAUGAGUUUAUUGUUAACUUCCGAUACAGCACAUAUAAGUCAGGCUUAUUCAACUUCGCCGAGGCGAGACAAAAAAAUCCAAGCGUUUUAAAGUACACAACAGGUUAGCAAAGAAUUAUAGAAAUAUAAUUUUGUUUCCUCCAAAAUAUUUGGUAAAAAAGAAUUGAGCAUACUGAAUUUACUUGGUACUUUUGGUGAAUUUCACUUUCAAAAAGAAAAAGAAACUAGAGGCUCUAAAGAGCCUGUGUCGCUCACCUUGGUCUAUGUGAAUAUUAAACAAAGGAAGCAGAUGGAUUCAUGACAAAAUUGUGUUUUGGUGAUGGUGAUGUGUUUGUACGUCUUACUUUACUGACCAUUCUUGCUGCUUACAGUUAUCUCUAUCUAUAAUGAACUUUGCCCAGUAGUUUCAGUGGUAAAUGUUAGUAAAAAUUUACAAAUUUUACGAAAAAUUGUUAAAAAUUGACUAUAAAGGACAAUAACUCCUUAGGGGGUCAAUUGACCAUUUCAGUCAUGUUGACUUAUUUGUAAAUCUUACUUUGCUGUACAUUAUUGCAGUUUAAAGUUUAUCUCUAUCUAUAAUAAUAUUCAAGAUAAUAACCCAAAACAGUAAAAUUUCCUUAAAAUUACCAAUUUAGGGGCAGCAACCCAACAACGGGUUGUCCGAUUCAUCUGAAAAUUUCAGGGCAGAUACAUCUUGACCUGAAAAACAAAUUUACCCAUGUCAGAUUUGCUCUAAAUGCUUUGGUUUUUGAGUUAUAAGCCAAAAAGUGCAUUUUACCCCUCUGUUCUAUUUUUAGCCAUGGUGGCCAUCUUGGUUGGAUGGCCGGGUCACCGGACACAUUUUGUAAACUAGAUACCCCAAAGAUGAUUGUGGCCAAGUUUGGAUUAAUUUGGCACAGUAGUUUCAGAGGAGAAGAUUUUUGUAAAAGAUUAAGAUUUACGAAAAAUUGUUAAAAAUUGACUAUAAAGGGCAAUAACUCCUAAAGGGGUCAACUGACCAUUUCGGUCAUGUUGACUUAUUUGUAAAUCUA
This 1049-nucleotide long non-coding RNA is filed under the name Mytilus galloprovincialis (Mediterranean mussel). The record is from RNAcentral. Lineage: Eukaryota; Metazoa; Mollusca; Bivalvia; Mytilida; Mytilidae.